RNAcentral lists this microRNA (24 nucleotides) under Bos taurus (domestic cattle). Its description in RNAcentral is "Bta-Mir-19-P2c_5p* (star (passenger))". The record is from RNAcentral. Lineage: Eukaryota; Metazoa; Chordata; Mammalia; Artiodactyla; Bovidae.
AGUUUUGCUGGUUUGCAUUUCAGC